UACGUAGGGUGCAAGCGUUGUCCGGAAUUAUUGGGCGUAAAGGGCUCGUAGGCGGUCCAUCACGUCGGGAGUGAAAAGCUGGGGCUUAACCCCAGUCCUGCUUCCGAUACGGGUGGACUAGAGGUAGGCAGGGGAGAACGGAAUUCCAGGUGUAGCGGUGAAAUGCGUAGAUAUUGGGAGGAACACCAGUGGCGAAGGCGGCUCACUGGACCGGUACUGACGCUGAGGCGCGAAAGCGUGGGGAGCAAACGGG
RNAcentral lists this ribosomal RNA (253 nucleotides) under uncultured bacterium. RNAcentral describes it as "partial 16S ribosomal RNA". It matches the Rfam family "Bacterial small subunit ribosomal RNA", at positions 524 to 776 of the family's 1533-position model. The record is from RNAcentral.